This 1052-nucleotide long non-coding RNA is filed under the name Medicago truncatula (barrel medic). RNAcentral's name for it is "long non-coding RNA (MTRU_LNC006533)". The record is from RNAcentral. Lineage: Eukaryota; Viridiplantae; Streptophyta; Magnoliopsida; Fabales; Fabaceae.
UCAAAAAAAGUAAAUUUUAUUUCGUCAACGCUUUUUGUAAAUAUAAUUUAAUUAUUGGAAUUGUCAAUGAUAAAAAACAGUUCUUUUUCUUCAAAAAAACAACUCAUUUAAUUAUUAAUUUAAUAAUUUGAUGUAUCGGUACAUGCAAAUUGUUGGGUAUACCAUAGAAUUUGCGAAAGUUGGACUAAGGUAACCCCAAAUCCAAUUAACACGGGGGACAUAUGACAGUAGGUGUUCUAGCCCCUGGAGUGCUACGAUAGUAAAGUACCAUACAAAAACCACCACCAUAGACAAAACUUACAAAGAGCAUAGUAAAUAAUAAUACGAGCAAACCAUAAAUUGCUUUGAAGACUUUGUUAACACAGUCAAUAAAGUCAUAUGGAUAUUUUCCUUCAGCACGAGGUUUCAUCUUCUGAAUAUGAGUCAUCACAUACUCAGAUGAAAAACUGCAAGCUGCUUCAGAACAUACAUAUACACUAAUUGCACCUACAAAGAGAUAAAUAACCAAAUGGUGAGAGUAAAAUCUUCUUGCAGUAUAAUAAAAAGAGACUUCCACAUAUGUAGCUUAACUAAUGUACAUAAUUAAAAUGGAAAAUCACAUUACAAGUCACAAGAAAAUUAGUGUUCAAUAAAUGAGAAAUCUUGAUAUAUAAGUGUUGAAUAAGCUUUUGAAAUAUCCAAACUUAGAAUGCAAAUAAUUUAAACAAAAAGCAACGGAAAAAGUUCAAGAGCACUAAUAGAAACAAAAAAAGUAAAUAACUAUAAAUAUGUAGUCUCUUGGGUAUACGUAAAGAGUUUUUACAUGAGUAUAGUGCCAUCCCAUGGAUAUUGCAAGAUAAAGAACGGGAUUCAACGUUUCAAAGAACAAUGAAUUGAUAGUUGGAUUAAGGAUAAGUUUUAAUUAUUUGCAUUGUGAAUAACCAGCUUACUGCAAUUAACCUUUAACAGGUCAGCAUAUGGUGCAAAAUAUAUAAGCUAGGGCAAUCAGAUCUUAUUAGCAUGCUCGAACUUUUGAUGUGUGUACAGUGUUCAAUUCUUUAAACUAAAGUUUG